AGCGAAAUAUAACAAGUUGCUCUCACAAUGGAUGGGGAAAUCAUAGUUGCGUGCAUUCGCAAGACGUUGGAAUUGAAUGCACUAACACAGCUUCAAAUGUGUCGGUGAGAUUACAAGGGCCUUCAAGU
Dendronephthya gigantea is the source of this 128-nucleotide long non-coding RNA. RefSeq lists it as uncharacterized. The record is from RefSeq and is a predicted model, not a curated record. The transcript is spliced from 2 exons. Lineage: Eukaryota; Metazoa; Cnidaria; Anthozoa; Malacalcyonacea; Nephtheidae.